Molecule: ribosomal RNA, 1217 nt
Filed under: uncultured Rhizaria
Lineage: Eukaryota
Description: SSU rRNA
Rfam family: Eukaryotic small subunit ribosomal RNA
Source: RNAcentral
CGGUAAUUCCAGCUCCAAUAGCGUAUACUAAAGUUGUUGCAGUUAAAAAGCUCGUAGUUGGAUUUCUGCGGGGACGGAGCGGCCGGACGCAACUUGCGUCUCGAGCUAGCGCUUUCCCCGCAUCCUGCCGCGAACCGUGCUACCAUUAGCUUGGUGGCGCUGGGGAUCGGCUCGAUUACUUUGAGAAAAAUAGAGUGUUCAAAGCAGGCCACACGCCUUGAAUAAGUUAGCAUGGAAUAAUGACUAAGGACUUCGGUUCUAUUUUGUUGGUGUUCGGGACUGAAGUAAUGAUUGAUAGGGACAGUUGGGGCGGUCUGUAUUCCAAAGCGAGAGGUGAAAUUCUCAGACCUUCGGAAGACAAACAGCUGCGAAAGCGUUCCGCAAGGAUGUUCCCUUUGAUCAAGAACGAAAGUUGGGGGAUCGAAGACGAUCAGAUACCGUCGUAGUCUCAACUAUAAACUAUACCAGCUAGGGAUCGGUCAACGUUUAAUCAUUCGACUUGAUCGGCACCUUAUGAGAAAUCAAAGCAUCUGGGUUCCGGGGGGAGUAUGGUCGCAAGGCUGAAACUUAAAGGAAUUGACGGAAGGGCACCACCAGCCGUGGAGCCUGUGGCUUAAUUUGACUCAACACGGGAAAACUUACCAGGUCCAGACAUAGUAAGGAUUGACAGAUUGAUAGCUCUUUCUUGAUUCUGUGGGUGGUGGUGCAUGGCCGUUCUUAGUUGGUGGAGUGAUUUGUCUGGUUAAUUCCGUUAACGAACGAGACCCCAGCCUGCUAAAUAGCGCGGCUGAGCUUUGCUCGGUGCGAGCUUCUUAGAGGGACUAUGAUGCGCGAUAGCACAUGGAAGUUUGGGGCAAUAACAGGUCUGUGAUGCCCUUAGAUGUUCUGGGCCGCACACGGGCUACACUGGCGCCUGCAACGAGCAUAUCAGCUGGCCCGAGAGGGUCUUGGCUAAUCUUUUGAACCGGCGCCGUGCUUGGGAUUGACCAUUGCAAUUGUUGGUCAUGCAACGAGGAAUGCCUUGUAAACGCGAGUCAUCAGCUCGCAUUGAAUACGUCCCUGCCCUUUGUACACACCGCCCGUCGCUCCUACCGAUGAAUGUUCCGAUGAAAUUUUCGGAGAGCGCCAGAGAACGGGGCUCUGCCUUGCAGAUCUGGAGGCUCAAAGUCACUUAAAUCUGAACAUUUCGAGGAAGGAGAAGUCGUAACAAGGUAGCC